Molecule: ribosomal RNA, 456 nt
Filed under: uncultured bacterium
Lineage: Bacteria
Description: bacterial SSU rRNA
Rfam family: Bacterial small subunit ribosomal RNA
Source: RNAcentral
CGAUACGAGUUUGAUCCUGGCUCAGAACGAACGCUGGCGGCAGGCCUAACACAUGCAAGUCGAGCGCCCCGCAAGGGGAGCGGCGGACGGGUGAGUAACGCGUGGGAACGUACCCUUUGCUACGGAAUAGCCUCGGGAAACUGGGAGUAAUACCGUAUGUGCCCUUCGGGGGAAAGAUUUAUCGGCAAAGGAUCGGCCCGCGUUGGAUUAGGUAGUUGGUGGGGUAAUGGCCUACCAAGCCGACGAUCCAUAGCUGGUUUGAGAGGAUGAUCAGCCACACUGGGACUGAGACACGGCCCAGACUCCUACGGGAGGCAGCAGUGGGGAAUCUUAGACAAUGGGCGCAAGCCUGAUCUAGCCAUGCCGCGUGAGCGAUGAAGGCCUUAGGGUUGUAAAGCUCUUUCAGUGGGGAAGAUAAUGACUGUACCCACAGAAGAAGCCCCGGCUAACUCCGUG